AGCUCUCCGCCACAUCACCUCUGCUUGUGACAAAGCAAUAUUACGGUUCUGGUGAACCCGAUUUCACAAACCCUAAUCCCACAAUUGAAUCGUAGAUCGAUUCCCUUUCACUCGCUUCAUCUUCUCCGUUUUUCCUUUUCGCGAUCUUCAUCACCACUGACAAUCAAACUUUCUCUUUACUCUCAUCUUUAAUGUCUUUCGUUUCACCUCCCUCUCCAUCUAUUUCUUAUAAACCUUUUCACCAUUUCCUGGUUCCAAUCAAAAUCCAGAGAAUCCUCUCAGGAAGCCAAAUCCGCAUGAAAUUGAAUGGCAAAUCCCCACCGAUCAGACAUACCGGGUAAACCGGUGUCUCCUCCACCAACUCUGUCUCCGGCGAUUCAGACUCCUCUGAGAAACACAAAGUCAACCUUUUGAUUUCUAUGGAGCCAAGUUGAUAUUAUUGAUGGUGGCUAUCGCUGGAGAAAAUAUGGCCAAAAAGCGGUCAAGAACAACAUGUUCCCCAGAUGAUCUUUAUAAUCCCCAAAAAGCUUAAAGCGGGCAAUGGAGUGGACCUUGAAACAGCAAAUGGGCGACACAAUUUCAAAAAUAAGAAAUUUUCAGAUCCGGCUACCGUCACUAAAUGGAAAGAUGAAAGAAUGGUAAGAUUUUAUUGUUGACUUCAUUACUAUUGCCGAUUGUUUUUGUUCCCUCAGAAAGCUUUUUAUACUGAAGAAACACCGUUUCAAGUACUCCAUGGUCAUACUGGAGAUGUCUUGGACUUGGCAUGGUCAGACUCAAAUUUGCUUCUUUCAGCUGCUAAAGACAAGACAGUUCGGCUAUGGAGAGUUGGUUGUGAUGAGUGUCUUCAUAUCUUCUAUCAUAACAACUACAGAGGAGGAGGAAACUACAUGAUCAACAGAUCAAUGACGUUCACGGGAGUAUCAGACCACCACCAUCUAACUCAAAGAAGCCCGACCACGACGAAGACAAUCUAUCAGAUGAUGGGUCCCAUAUGAUGUUAGGAGGGACGAAGAAGAGGCUGAAUUUAUAGCAAGUUAGGGCAUUAGAGAAGAUCUUCGAGCUAGGGAACAAGUUGGAGCCUGAGAGGAAGAUGCAGCUAGGUAAGGCCUUAGGGUUGCAGCCUAGGCAGAUUGCGAAUUGGUUUCAGAACAGGAAAGCUAGGUUGAAGACAAAGCAGCUUGAAAGAGACUAUGAUACUCUGAAGAAACAGUUCGAUGUUUUGAAAUCGGAUAAUGAUUCUCUUCUAGCACACAAUAAGAAACUCCAUGAUGGGUUCCAUAGAUGUCAAAGCUCGAAUUUGGGGUUUAUCAGAACAGAGGGUCGUCGCUUGGACCGAUGCUCAUGACUCCAUUUCAGCAAGUUACCAACACAACGGAAAUAUGGGGCAGCAAGAAAUAUUUUUUUUGUUGGAUCCAUCGCUUUUCAGGAUGUAGCACACAAGGUCUCUGCCCUUAAAGUUUUUCUUAACAGGGGAGACAUGGCAAGACUUAAGGAGAUUCAAGAAGCUGUCUUACAAAUGAGCGCACCAAAGGCUCUGAGAAAUGAACUGAUUCACAAACUGAGAAGUGAAAGAAUGUCGUAUCAUGGAGAUGAAUCAAGCUGGAACCGAUCAUGGGUGGCAAUUAAGAAGCUCUGGGCUUCAAAGUGGAACGUGAGAGCUUACGUCAGUAGAAAACUAGAGUUGACCCAUGAUGCCGUCUGCAUGUCGGUGCUGGUUCAAGAAUCAUGUGGUGAUUAUGCUUUCGUCAUUCACACAAACAAUCCUGUCACUGGUGAUUCUUCAGAAAUACACACAAGAGAUUGUGAAGGGUUUGGGAGAGACCUUGGUUGGAGGAUAUCCAGGACGAGCAAUGAGCUUUAUCACCAAGAAAACAAACCUCAACUCGCCAACCGUGAGAAACAAAAAACAGAUAGUGUUUGCAUGUUAACUCCAGUAAGUAUUUGAGCUGUGCAGGUGAUCAGUAGUUACCCAAGUAAGAGGAUAGUUCUGUACUCUAAACCCUCUAUCAUGUUCUUAGCAGGAAUGUUGUCAAAGUCUGUACACAUUAAUACCAAAUAAUUAGUUUCCCCCUAAGUAAUAAACAACCUAUAAAAACCAUUGUUUUCCUU
RNA transcript from Brassica oleracea var. oleracea, 2109 nucleotides. It is a transcript of the gene named alpha-glucan water dikinase 2-like, with no coding region annotated. The transcript is spliced from 9 exons. NCBI's taxonomy places the organism in Eukaryota, Viridiplantae, Streptophyta, Magnoliopsida, Brassicales, Brassicaceae. The record is from RefSeq and is a predicted model, not a curated record.